Molecule: ribosomal RNA, 308 nt
Filed under: uncultured bacterium
Lineage: Bacteria
Description: partial 16S ribosomal RNA
Rfam family: Bacterial small subunit ribosomal RNA
Source: RNAcentral
GAGACAGCAGUCGCCGCGGUAAUACAGAGGGUGCGAGCGUUAAUCGGAUUUACUGGGCGUAAAGCGUGCGUAGGCGGCUUUUUAAGUCGGAUGUGAAAUCCCUGAGCUUAACUUAGGAAUUGCAUUCGAUACUGGGAAGCUAGAGUAUGGGAGAGGAUGGUAGAAUUCCAGGUGUAGCGGUGAAAUGCGUAGAGAUCUGGAGGAAUACCGAUGGCGAAGGCAGCCAUCUGGCCUAAUACUGACGCUGAGGUACGAAAGCAUGGGGAGCAAACAGGAUUAGAUACCCCAGUAGUCCCUGUCUCUUAUAA